Molecule: non-coding RNA, 85 nt
Filed under: Stutzerimonas stutzeri MF28
Lineage: Bacteria; Pseudomonadati; Pseudomonadota; Gammaproteobacteria; Pseudomonadales; Pseudomonadaceae
Description: ivy-DE RNA
Rfam family: ivy-DE RNA
Source: RNAcentral
GAACCAAGGGGUCGGGACGCUCUGUUUCAAGGAGCGACCUAGGGGUACAAGGAGUACCUCCUUCGAGGACCAGGUUCGGCGAAGG